Humulus lupulus (European hop) is the source of this 1306-nucleotide long non-coding RNA. RefSeq lists it as uncharacterized. The record is from RefSeq and is a predicted model, not a curated record. Lineage: Eukaryota; Viridiplantae; Streptophyta; Magnoliopsida; Rosales; Cannabaceae. The transcript has 2 exons.
CUUCAAAUUUGGCUUGCCAGCUUCCCUCUUUCCUUCUCAACUUUACUCUUUACUCUUACUUUCUCAGAUAUGGUUCCAUUUUAUCUCAUCCUUUCUAUUUUCAUUUUUUUUUUCAGAUUUUAUCCAUUUCUAGCUUAAUCUACUUUUGUUUUUGCUCUGUUAAUCGUUGUUUUUGGUUUUUAGAUUUUUGAAACCCACAUUUGCUUCGAUCCCAAGGCCAUUGAUGUUGGUUAUAGCUUCAUUUUGGUAAGUUUCUUUUGGUUUUUAAUUUACUUCAAGUUUUGUUUCAUUUAUUCUAAUUUUUAAAUCUAUUGAUUUUUGUUUUUUUCUUCUCUGUUGAUACCAUUUUUUUAUUGCAUUUAAAUUGAUAAAAUAGUUCCUCUACAAAUAAUAUAUCCUUGCAAAUCUCCAUCCCAUGAUUCUUCAUCCUCAAAACAUAAAUGUAAAUUGGAUGAAGCUAGAUUCACCUAAAUCUAAGAAAAUCUCUAAAAAAUCUAAGAAAGUUUAUGCCCCUAGUUGUAAGGUACUAUAUAUAUUUUUUUUGGGAUGCAUUUGCUAUUGUCAUUCCAUACUUGUGGGAUCAAACUGGUUUUUCUUUGAGUUGAUCUUAUACAUAUUUGAAUCUUGAGGCAUACCCUGUUCCUAAGCGCUUCUUGAAGUUUGUGUUGCAAGCGACAUCCUCGGGCAACAGUACAAGUAUUGUUGCUUUGCAAAGCUUGAUUGCUGACAUCCAUGGAGAUUUUUCGUUGCUCUGAGGUUCUUUUACAUAGGUGAUCAGCAAAGAAGAAGCUCUUUAUUCACUUCCAUUCUGUAUUUUUCUAAAAAAAAAAGGUAUGGUAUUGUAUUUUGGUUGAAUUUCUAUUGAUUUUUCCCUGAUUGGUGGUCAACGAUUAUGGUGAUUUUCUGUUUUUGGCUUUAGCAAUUUUUAAUUUUUUAUUUGUGGUUGUUGUCGGUGAAUGGGUCUCAUAGAAGAAGUUGUCGGUGAAUGAGUCUCAUAGAUGAUUUUUGAGCUUUGUAGGUUGGUUUUUCGUUGAUUUUCCAUAGCUUUGAUGGUCAGUUGUUUAACGCCUAAAUCGUGACAACCACUAAGCGAUAGUUGUAGUAAAAUCGGGCAGUCGAUCCACAAAGAGGUAGCCUAAAACUAAAAGAUUAGUAGAAAAUAACACUAAAAGUUAGUAUAAAUGAAAAUGAAAAGGGAUUUGAGAUUUUGGUGUGGUUUUUUUGAUGAAAUGAUAAAAUGAGAUAAGUAAAAUGAAAGUAAGGUGUAAUCAAGAGUUUGAGCAAUAGAAAUGUUUCAAGAAUCAUC